RNAcentral lists this ribosomal RNA (465 nucleotides) under Vreelandella stevensii. RNAcentral describes it as "partial 16S ribosomal RNA". It matches the Rfam family "Bacterial small subunit ribosomal RNA", at positions 338 to 795 of the family's 1533-position model. Lineage: Bacteria; Pseudomonadati; Pseudomonadota; Gammaproteobacteria; Oceanospirillales; Halomonadaceae. The record is from RNAcentral.
CCUACGGGUGGCAGCAGUGGGGAAUAUUGGACAAUGGGGGGAACCCUGAUCCAGCCAUGCCGCGUGUGUGAAGAAGGCCCUCGGGUUGUAAAGCACUUUCAGUGAGGAAGAACGCCUGGUGGUUAAUACCCAUCAGGAAAGACAUCACUCACAGAAGAAGCACCGGCUAACUCCGUGCCAGCAGCCGCGGUAAUACGGAGGGUGCGAGCGUUAAUCGGAAUUACUGGGCGUAAAGCGCGCGUAGGUGGCUUGAUAAGCCGGUUGUGAAAGCCCCGGGCUCAACCUGGGAACGGCAUCCGGAACUGUCAAGCUAGAGUGCAGGAGAGGAAGGUAGAAUUCCCGGUGUAGCGGUGAAAUGCGUAGAGAUCGGGAGGAAUACCAGUGGCGAAGGCGGCCUUCUGGACUGACACUGACACUGAGGUGCGAAAGCGUGGGUAGCAAACAGGAUUAGAUACACCAGUAGUC